ACGGCGAGUGAAGCGGUAACAGCUCAAAUUUGAAAUCUGGGUCUUUCAGGCUCCGAGUUGUAAUUUGUAGAAGAUGCUUCGGGUGCGGCUCCGGUCUAAGUUCCUUGGAACAGGACGUCAUAGAGGGUGAGAAUCCCGUAUGUGAUCGGUUGCUUGCGCCCAUGUGAAGCUCUUUCGACGAGUCGAGUUGUUUGGGAAUGCAGCUCAAAAUGGGUGGUAAAUUUCAUCUAAAGCUAAAUAUUGGCCAGAGACCGAUAGCGCACAAGUAGAGUGAUCGAAAGAUGAAAAGCACUUUGGAAAGAGAGUUAAACAGUACGUGAAAUUGUUGAAAGGGAAGCGCUUGCAACCAGACUUGCGCGUGGCCGAUCAUCCGGGGUUCUCCCCGGUGCACUCGGCCUCGCUCAGGCCAGCAUCGGUUUCGGUGGUGGGAUAAAGGCCUUGGGAAUGUGGCUCCUCUCGGGGAGUGUUAUAGCCCUCGGUGCAAUGCCGCCUACCGGGACCGAGGACCGCGCUUCGGCUAGGAUGCUGGCGUAAUGGUUGUAAGCGACCCGUCUUGAAACACGGACCAAGGAGUCUAACAUCUAUGCGAGUGUUUGGGUGUCAAACCCAUACGCGUAAUGAAAGUGAACGGAGGUGAGAACCCUUAAGGGUGCAUCAUCGACCGAUCCUGAUGUCUUCGGAUGGAUUUGAGUAAGAGCAUAGCUGUUGGGACCCGAAAGAUGGUGAACUAUGCCUGAAUAGGGUGAAGCCAGAGGAAACUCUGGUGGAGGCUCGCAGCGGUUCUGACGUGCAAAUCGAUCGUCAAAUUUGGGUAUA
RNAcentral lists this ribosomal RNA (816 nucleotides) under Coleophoma xanthosiae. Its description in RNAcentral is "eukaryotic LSU rRNA". It matches the Rfam family "Eukaryotic large subunit ribosomal RNA", at positions 86 to 919 of the family's 3401-position model. Lineage: Eukaryota; Fungi; Ascomycota; Leotiomycetes; Helotiales; Dermateaceae. The record is from RNAcentral.